This 804-nucleotide ribosomal RNA is filed under the name Triticum aestivum (bread wheat). Its description in RNAcentral is "partial small subunit ribosomal RNA". Lineage: Eukaryota; Viridiplantae; Streptophyta; Magnoliopsida; Poales; Poaceae. The record is from RNAcentral.
AUGGGCACGAAAGGCAAAAGCAGGCUGCGCAAUAAGCGCGGAGGCGUGGCCCUUCGGCCGCAUGCGCCUCCCGUAGCCCAGGCGAAGGCCGGCGGCGGCGACCCAACGGCGAAGACAGGGUCGGAGGAGAAGGUGGCUAUCCUCACGGCCCACAACGCCGCGGAGCUGCCAAAGGCGCGGGCAGAGGUCGACAACGCGCAGCAGCGCGACGAUGGCGAGGUGGUGCUCCCUCAGGUGACCGACCUUCACCUUCACGGCGCCACCGAUGGGAAGGCCGCGCAGCCGGCCGACGACGGCCCUGGCGAGCUCGAGCGGGAAGCGCCGGGGUCGGGCGAGGUUGUGCUCCCUGACGAGGUCGAGGCACCUGGCCUUCACGGCGCCACCAAGGAGGCCGACGAUGUGCCAGUGGCGAUCGAGGGGGAAGCGCCCGGGUCGGGCGAGGUGGUGGUGCCCCCCGACGAGGUCGAGGAGCCCGUCCUUCACAGCGCCACCGCAGAGGAGGUCGUGCGGCCGGCGACGGAGGAGGCGGACGACGUGCCUGUCAAACUCGAGGCGGGAGGAUCGGGGGAGGAGACGCACGCGCCGCACGCCGAGAAGGAGCUCCCGGACGACACCUUCGCUGGCGAUGUCCUCGUGGACCAUAACGUCGUCCACCCCGAGGAGGUCGCCUCCCUGCGCCGGCGCCUGGCCGCCGCGCGGGCGAGGAACCUCCUGAACCCGGAUACGAUCGACGAACUAAACAAGCUGUUCGAGGAGAUGGGGCUCUCGGUUGCCGUCGCGUCGAAGGGCCAAGGUCGCCGUUGA